AGAGACAGCAGCCGCCGCGGAAUACGGAGGGUGCAAGCGUUAUCCGGAUUUAUUGGGUUUAAAGGGUCCGUAGGCGGACUUAUAAGUCAGUGGUGAAAGCCUGUCGCUUAACGAUAGAACUGCCAUUGAUACUGUAAGUCUUGAGUAUAUUUGAGGUAGCUGGAAUAAGUAGUGUAGCGGUGAAAUGCAUAGAUAUUACUUAGAACACCAAUUGCGAAGGCAGGUUACCAAGAUAUAACUGACGCUGAGGGACGAAAGCGUGGGUAGCGAACAGGAUUAGAUACCCCAGUAGUCCCUGUCUCUUAUACC
This 309-nucleotide ribosomal RNA is filed under the name uncultured bacterium. Its description in RNAcentral is "partial 16S ribosomal RNA". It matches the Rfam family "Bacterial small subunit ribosomal RNA", at positions 504 to 808 of the family's 1533-position model. The record is from RNAcentral.